RNAcentral lists this long non-coding RNA (979 nucleotides) under Setaria viridis. RNAcentral's name for it is "long non-coding RNA (SVIR_LNC006320)". The record is from RNAcentral. Lineage: Eukaryota; Viridiplantae; Streptophyta; Magnoliopsida; Poales; Poaceae.
CAUUUCUUGCGUAUAGUCCAAACACUUUCUGUCAAAUAUCAAAGUAUUUGUAUUCCCAAAUGAUCGUAAGCAUCUUAAUAGCAUCUAAUAGGCACUUAAAUAAUAUACGGUAAGCAUUUCAGCUGUCCAUUUUAAGUAGUUUUCUCAUACAUUUGUUCACAGUUAAAGUGCUAUUCUUAGCCAGGCAAAAAGUGUUGUUCUCAGUUAGUAAAAAUAUUAUUCUUAGUCAAACCACUAUUAUUAGUUAGGGAAAUUAAUUUUUUAGUUGGGUAAUUGUUUUGCUAAGAACAAGCAAAACAAUGCAUUUGCCUAGGAAAGUUUCUGAUUAAUAUAUUUGGAGUGGAUCUGUUGAUUAUCGGGAUACACAAGGUAGUUCUUCACCCCAUCCAACUUUUUUUUUUGCUAUUUUUAUAAUUUGCUACUAGCUGCUAACUGAUUAGAUCUUUUUUUUCCUCAUUGUAUGGCAGGUCAUGAAAGGAGUCGUGAGAUGCACAGCACCAUGAGUCAUGAUGUUCAAUUUUGCAUGUGAAGUAAAUGUAGAUUUUAGCAGAGGAGGGGGAGGGAAAUCUGUUUGUGUAAUUAGACUUUAUAAACCAAAUUGCACGCAGUUCUGAAUUAUACAAACAUUAGGUAUAAAAUUGCAUGUUAGCUUUUGUGGUUUCUGGGAAAACUUGCGUUGGUCUGCUGGGCAUCACCGGUGCAGCACUUCAGCCUUUGGGUGUGCAGAAAAGGCUGCAAUGGCAGUUUUUUUUCCAAAAAAGGGAAGCGGACAAAAUGUUCACGCCUCUAGUUGCCAUAAAAGGAACGGCCGUACGUUAGCCGGGUCCAUAAAAAAUUCGGCAGAUGAAGGUGUGAUUCAUCUCGCAUAAAAAAAAACGCAGCGACAGUAAUUUCUUUCAUUUUAUUCAUUUUAUUUCAUGAACUCCUGUAAAAAUUAGUCGUGUAGAUUCCUUCUAGUAGAAUCUAUCUACCCGAUUCG